This 429-nucleotide ribosomal RNA is filed under the name bacterium. Its description in RNAcentral is "partial 16S ribosomal RNA". It matches the Rfam family "Bacterial small subunit ribosomal RNA", at positions 355 to 776 of the family's 1533-position model. The record is from RNAcentral.
UAGGGAAUCUUCGGCAAUGGGGGCAACCCUGACCGAGCAACGCCGCGUGAGUGAAGAAGGUUUUCGGAUCGUAAAGCUCUGUUAUAAGAGAAGAACGUGUGUGAGAGUGGAAAGUUCACACAGUGACGGUAACUUACCAGAAAGGGACGGCUAACUACGUGCCAGCAGCCGCGGUAAUACGUAGGUCCCGAGCGUUGUCCGGAUUUAUUGGGCGUAAAGCGAGCGCAGGCGGUUUAAUAAGUCUGAAGUUAAAGGCAGUGGCUUAACCAUUGUUCGCUUUGGAAACUGUUAAACUUGAGUGCAGAAGGGGAGAGUGGAAUUCCAUGUGUAGCGGUGAAAUGCGUAGAUAUAUGGAGGAACACCGGUGGCGAAAGCGGCUCUCUGGUCUGUAACUGACGCUGAGGCUCGAAAGCGUGGGGAGCAAACAGG